AGCAGCCGCGGUAAUUCCAGCUCCAAUAGCGUAUAUUAAAGUUGUUGCAGUUAAAAAGCUCGUAGUUGAAUUUCGGGGUUAGUAGGUUGGUCAUGCCUCCGGUAUGUACUGGUCUCACUGAUUCCUCCUUCCUUAUGAACCGUAAUGCCAUUAAUUUGGUGUUGCGGGGAAUUUGGACUGUUACUUUGAAAAAAUUAGAGUGUUUAAAGCAAGCUAACGCUUGGAUACAUUAGCAUGGAAUAAUGAAAUAGGACGUUCGAUCUUAUUUUGUUGGUUUUCUAGGAUUGACGUAAUGAUUAAUAGGGAUAGUUGGGGGGCAUUAGUAUUCAAUUGUCAGAGGUGAAAUUCUUGGAUUUAUUGAAGACUAACUACUGCGAAAGCAUUUGCCAAGGAUGGUUCAUUAAUCAAGAACGAAAGUUAGGGAUCGAAGACGAUCAGAUACCGUCGUAGUCUUAACCAUAAACCUAUGCCGACUAGGGAUCGGAUGAUGUUAAUUUUUUANGUACUCAUUCGGCGCCUU
This 520-nucleotide ribosomal RNA is filed under the name uncultured Glomus. RNAcentral's name for it is "SSU rRNA". It matches the Rfam family "Eukaryotic small subunit ribosomal RNA", at positions 569 to 1089 of the family's 1831-position model. Lineage: Eukaryota; Fungi; Glomeromycota; Glomeromycetes; Glomerales; Glomeraceae. The record is from RNAcentral.